GACUGUGCAAGUAGGGCAGAUACAGUCUGAGAUAUACUAAUAUGCUAUUUGCCACCAUCCAAACUCCUACCACUGUCAGCUCAAUAAAAUUUCAACUGUUCAAAAAAUCUCCUCUGAUGGGAUGCCCAGAUGGUGUUCGUAUUCUGAUCAUCUUCAAUAGAUAUAGCCAAAUACUAUCCAACAGUAUACAUCGAAAAUCUAUAUAGUAAAAAAACUCCACAGUGAUUGAGGUUCUAU
Molecule: long non-coding RNA, 237 nt
Filed under: Elaeis guineensis (African oil palm)
Lineage: Eukaryota; Viridiplantae; Streptophyta; Magnoliopsida; Arecales; Arecaceae
Description: long non-coding RNA (EGUI_LNC014199)
Source: RNAcentral